This 262-nucleotide long non-coding RNA is filed under the name Elaeis guineensis (African oil palm). RNAcentral's name for it is "long non-coding RNA (EGUI_LNC050703)". The record is from RNAcentral. Lineage: Eukaryota; Viridiplantae; Streptophyta; Magnoliopsida; Arecales; Arecaceae.
CCUCUCAUUACUAUCAUGGCUCCAUUUGAGAUGUUAACACCCUACUCCUGGCAUGACUGCUGAAGCUGUAGCCGCUCCGCUCCAGGUAACCAAGUGACACGAGAUUCUUCUUCAGAUCAAGGACGUGCUUCACAUUAGUGAGAGUCCGCACCAUCCCAUCAAGCAUCCUCAUCCGAAUGCUCUCAAUAUCAGCAACUCUACAUAGGUGAUCAUCUUCAAGUGUCAUGCUCCCUUCAUCCAUCCUGGUGUAUGUAGCGAACCA